AAACUAGUGGCGGGCUCGCUAUAACUCCGAGCGUAGUAGUAAAAUAUCUCGCUAGGGAGGUGUCGCGGGUUCCGGCCGUGAAAGCCCCAUCUUUUACACAAGGUUGACCUCGGAUCAGGUAGGAAUACCCGCUGAACUUAAGCAUAUCAAUAAGCGGAGGAAAAGAAACCAACAGGGAUUGCCCCAGUAACGGCGAGUGAAGCGGCAACAGCUCAAAUUUGAAAUCUGGCCUCGGCCCGAGUUGUAAUUUGUAGAGGAUGCUUUUGGUGAGGUGCCUUGUGAGUUCCCUGGAACGGGACGCCAGAGAGGGUGAGAGCCCCGUAUACUUGGACACCGAGCCUCUGUAAAGCUCCUUCGACGAGUCGAGUAGUUUGGGAAUGCUGCUCAAAAUGGGAGGUAUAUCUCUUCUAAAGCUAAAUAUUGGCCAGAGACCGAUAGCGCACAAGUAGAGUGAUCGAAAGAUGAAAAGCACUUUGAAAAGAGGGUUAAAUAGUACGUGAAAUUGUUGAAAGGGAAGCGCUUGUGACCAGACUUGUGCCGGGCUGAUCAUCCAGUGUUCUCACUGGUGCACUCUGCCCGGCUCAGGCCAGCGUCGGUUCUCGGUGGGGGACAAAAGCUUCGGGAACGUAGCUCCUUCGGGAGUGUUAUAGCCCGCUGCUCAAUACCCUACCGGGGACCGAGGU
Molecule: ribosomal RNA, 683 nt
Filed under: Sordariomycetes sp. genotype 163
Lineage: Eukaryota; Fungi; Ascomycota; Sordariomycetes
Description: eukaryotic LSU rRNA
Rfam family: Eukaryotic large subunit ribosomal RNA (bases 105-683)
Source: RNAcentral